UACGUAGGGGGCAAGCGUUGUCCGGAAUCAUUGGGCGUAAAGAGCGUGUAGGCGGCUCGGUAAGUCCGCUGUGAAAGUCCAGGGCUCAACCCUGGAAAGCCGGUGGAAACUGUCGAGCUUGAGUCCGGAAGAGGCGAGUGGAAUUCCUGGUGUAGCGGUGAAAUGCGCAGAUAUCAGGAGGAACACCAAUGGCGAAGGCAGCUCGCUGGGACGGUACUGACGCUGAGACGCGAAAGCGUGGGGAGCAAACAGG
RNAcentral lists this ribosomal RNA (253 nucleotides) under uncultured bacterium. RNAcentral describes it as "partial 16S ribosomal RNA". It matches the Rfam family "Bacterial small subunit ribosomal RNA", at positions 524 to 776 of the family's 1533-position model. The record is from RNAcentral.